RNAcentral lists this ribosomal RNA (129 nucleotides) under Sicyos weberbaueri. Its description in RNAcentral is "partial 18S ribosomal RNA". It matches the Rfam family "Eukaryotic small subunit ribosomal RNA", at positions 1706 to 1830 of the family's 1831-position model. Lineage: Eukaryota; Viridiplantae; Streptophyta; Magnoliopsida; Cucurbitales; Cucurbitaceae. The record is from RNAcentral.
GUGUUCGGAUCGCGGCGACGUAGGCGGUUCGCUGCCCGCGACGUCGNGAGAAGUCCACUGAACCUUAUCAUUUAGAGGAAGGAGAAGUCGUAACAAGGUUUCCGUAGGUGAACCUGCGGAAGGAUCAUU